Molecule: non-coding RNA, 134 nt
Organism: Caenorhabditis elegans
Lineage: Eukaryota; Metazoa; Nematoda; Chromadorea; Rhabditida; Rhabditidae
Source: Ensembl
CCAUAUUCACGAACACAGGCUUGUUCGCAAGAAACAGGGCGCGCCAAGGCAUAUCGCCGCAGCCUUACACAACUGGAUUACUGUGUUGUUACCACUUUCCAAUCUCUAAUUAAUCAUUUUAAUCAGACACCCUC